Molecule: ribosomal RNA, 476 nt
Filed under: uncultured bacterium
Lineage: Bacteria
Description: partial 16S ribosomal RNA
Rfam family: Bacterial small subunit ribosomal RNA
Source: RNAcentral
GAUGAACGCUGGCGGCGUGCUUAACACAUGCAAGUCGAGCGAGUGAGUUCUUCGGAACGAUCUAGCGGCGGACGGGUGAGUAACACGUGGGCAACCUGCCUCAUAGAGGGGAAUAGCCUCCCGAAAGGGAGAUUAAUACCGCAUAAAAUUAUCGAGUGGCAUCACAUGAUAAUCAAAGGAGUAAUCCGCUAUGAGAUGGGCCCGCGGCGCAUUAGCUAGUUGGUGAGGUAACGGCUCACCAAGGCGACGACGCGUAGCCGACCUGAGAGGGUGAUCGGCCACCGUGGGACUUAGACACGGCCCAGACUCCUACGGGAGGCAGCAGUGGGGAAUAUUGCACAAUGGGGGAAACCCUGAUGCAGCAACGCCGCGUGAGUGAUGAAGGUCUUCGGAUUGUAAAGCUCUGUCUUUGGGGACGAUAAUGACGGUACCCAAGGAGGAAGCCACGGCUAACUACGUGCCAGCCGCCGCUGUAA